GAUGAACGCUGGCGGCGUGCCUAAUACAUGCAAGUCGAGCGAACGGACGAGAAGCUUGCUUCUCUGAUGUUAGCGGCGGACGGGUGAGUAACACGUGGAUAACCUACCUAUAAGACUGGGAUAACUUCGGGAAACCGGAGCUAAUACCGGAUAAUAUUUUGAACCGCAUGGUUCAAAAGUGAAAGACGGUCUUGCUGUCACUUAUAGAUGGAUCCGCGCUGCAUUAGCUAGUUGGUAAGGUAACGGCUUACCAAGGCAACGAUGCAUAGCCGACCUGAGAGGGUGAUCGGCCACAUGGGAACUGAGACACGGUCCAGACACUUACGGGAGGCAGCAGCGGGGAAUCUUACGCGAUGGGCGAAAGCCUGAUGGAGCAACGCCGCGUGAGUGAUGAAGGUCUUCGGAUGGGAAAACUCUGUUAUUAGGGAAGAACAUAUGUGUAAGUAACUGUGCACAUCUUGACGGUACCUAAUCAGAAAGCCACGGCUAACUACGUG
Molecule: ribosomal RNA, 497 nt
Filed under: uncultured bacterium
Lineage: Bacteria
Description: partial 16S ribosomal RNA
Rfam family: Bacterial small subunit ribosomal RNA
Source: RNAcentral